This 251-nucleotide ribosomal RNA is filed under the name uncultured bacterium. RNAcentral's name for it is "partial 16S ribosomal RNA". It matches the Rfam family "Bacterial small subunit ribosomal RNA", at positions 27 to 307 of the family's 1533-position model. The record is from RNAcentral.
GAGCGAACGCUGGCGGCAGGCCUAACACAUGCAAGUCGAACGGAACCUUCGGGUUCAGUGGCGACGGGUGAGUAACACGUGGGAACGUGCCCUAUGGUUCGGAAUAACUCAGGGAAACUUGAGGCUAAUACCGGAUAAGCCCUACGGGGAAGAUUUAUCGCCAUUGGGAGCGGCCCGCGUCUGAUUAGCUAGUUGGUGAGGUAAAGGCUCACCAAGGCUACGAUCAGUAGCUGGUCUGAGAGGAUGAUCAG